This 3344-nucleotide long non-coding RNA is filed under the name Setaria viridis. RNAcentral describes it as "long non-coding RNA (SVIR_LNC008493)". The record is from RNAcentral. Lineage: Eukaryota; Viridiplantae; Streptophyta; Magnoliopsida; Poales; Poaceae.
UUUUUUUUUUUUUUUUUUUGUGUGUGUGUGUGUGUGGGGGGGGGGGGGGGGGGGGGGGCAGUUAGCAUGCUCCCCUGAAACUCUGUAAGGUGCAUUUUUUGUGCCUUUGCUGUAGUUAGGGAAGCAGGGCUGUAGGGUUGCUUGCAAGUGCUCCUGCAUCACUUAGAAUCAACUUUCGUUCUUAAAGCAAUGAAAUAGUAGACUAGGGUAUUAUAUACUUAUGUCCUUUCUUCCUCGUCCAGGAGGAGUAUGUUGAUGGAGACAAUCUUGGGAGACUGGACUGCGGGCACGACUUCCAUGUUGGCUGCAUCAAGCAAUGGCUGGUGCUGAAGAAUGUGUGCCCCAUCUGCAAAAGCACCGCGCUGAAGACCUGAAACUGAACCGAGGCUCGUCAGAGGACACCCAUGUUCUAUGUUCAUUCGAUCGCAAGAUCAUUUACCGAUUCAUAUUGCUGUGCUUUUUGGUUGGGAAAUUUUGCCACUCACCUUCGAUUGGGAAAGGAAUUUUUUUUAAAAAAAGGAGAGAAAUGGUCCCUGUAAACUGCUGGUGCAGUAAAUAAUCCCUGGAAUAUGUCUCCCUGCAUUUAACCAAAUAUUUAUGGCUGGUAUAAUGGAUGUCGUAGGUUUAAAAACUUCAAACGAUUGCAUGCUGCCGCCCUCGUGCCAUAAUUUUGCUUGAUCUGGAUUUCACGUGCUGGCGCAGCGAAGAACCUCAUGAUGCCUGCCUUUUUUUUUCUUCCAUGGAGGAUGGUGCUUGCAUUCAGAGUUCCAGAGUCAACUUGUUUGAGAACUCAACAAACAAGGCACGGCGCCGUGCUGAGUUUUCCAGGCACUAUUGCUGUGCUGGCCUUGGAUGGAUCCCCCAUGCUUUCGUUGCCCCUGCACUUGUUCCUUGUCGGCGACAGGCGCCUUGCCGCGAGAGCCCGGCACGAACGCAACUCCUCGGCGGCUGGCUCGGCGCCGUCGCUGUCCACCCAUGAUCCAUCCACCCAUCCAGAGGGGGGAGUCGCUGGUCUUCUCGUCCGGUGGCUAAGUGUUAGGGGCUCCCGUUGUGGCCACACACACGGCGCCAUCCCUGAUGGGUACCCGCCGCGCCCGACGCCGCACAACUGGAUGCAGCGCGUCCGCCUCGGCGUGACGGCUAGGCUCAGGGUUGAGUCGCUGUAUUCUCACCUGCAGGGCAACGUCUCCGUUCGUCCCGACUCGUCACGUCUCCCUGCAACGUGUGCUAGGUUUUGGUGAGGCUUGUGCUAGUUACUUUGGAGCUGCAGGAUUCCGAAGCUUCUAGAUCUUUCUGGAUGCAUCCAGAGCUCUGAAACCUACGGCUGAUCCGUUGUGUUUCUGAAGACUUGAAGUUCAUUCGUAUGGCUGGGAAGGUUAGAUGGGCUACGUUUGCUGCGGGCUGGGCUUUAGUUUCCUUUGUGAUGACACAAACAGGCCCAUCUCUCUUCAGGAAAGCGUCUGACGAGUGACGAUAGAAAUUGGCCGGAGCAAGACGGCGGCGGAUUUUGUGUGCGGCUGACGGUGCGUGCGCCCGAAAUGAGGUUGACGGAAGGCGGAAACAAUUGCUUCGUUGACACGAUGACUUGCUGGUUUCGUGGGUGGCGUGUUGGGUGUGAUUGGGAGGCUGCCAAAGUGGCCGAAAAGGGGGAGCCGGUGGCCACAAACGGCAGCUGCAAAUCGCCUUCCGGCAAUUUCCCUUUUCAUUCGCGCAAUUGCAAGAACAGCUAGGCUGGUCGUCUCAUCUGGAAGAGGGGGGAGCUCGACCUGGACGGCUAUGGGGAAAAAAUCUGAAAGAGGAACGUAUCCAAAGGAGAAUUGAGAUUUCAUACUUAGGACUAGUGGAAAUACUCGACGAAAAAUGAAAUUUGUGUCAAGAUUCUAGUACACAAAUGUCACGCAAAAAGAUAGGCUCCAUGCUUCAAUUGCUGCACCCUGCAAAGAGUCAGAAUUUCGAUGUCCGUCCAGGUUGUGUUUGAGUGUUCAGUGUUGUGUAGUGCAUGAUGGGCAGAGGCGGCCCGGCCCUACCUGAGAGGCUGAGAGAGUAGUACAUGAUGGGCAGUUCACUGUCCCUCCGACACUAUCUAUGAGAAGUAGCAGAGCCGUGGGGAACACACGCCGGCAGAUCUCAAAUGAAAACCGCCUCGCUGUCCUCUCUGCUCCUCCGGUCCAUGUUUGCAUUACUUGCCGCAUGUGCCCAUCUGAUCAGUUGCGCUCGCCUUCGCCGCCGCCGCCCAGGCCCAUGAAAAUCACGCCCGCGCGCACGACGGGUGCCACCGGGGCAGCUCAGACUUGAGAUCGAUCAGAGCCUCCGUCCACCUCCAGGGCGCACGGCGAGACGCUCUGCGGCCGCGGGAUCUACGGCCGGCACGGCUGCCACCCUGACUGAACUGAACCAUGGCCAGGGGGUGCUGGGGCGGCGGGGCCGGGUCGAUGCCCAUGAACGCCGACGGCUCUCGGUGGCGGUCGGGGGGCGUCGGCUUCGUCGUUGAGCUACAGAGGAAGUUGGUGGUAUACUUGUCAUGCACAAGGCGGCGAUCCAUCACGCAAGAUGACGCGCGGCUCCCUUCCGCUUCCGUCGCCUUCCCUUUCGAAUGUGGUGGCCUAACCCCCACCCAACCCGACCCGACGCGACGCCAUCGGGAUCACCCAUGCAACGCAAGCAUCGUUAGCACCGGCACUGUCGCCCCGCCCUAAUCCUCCACUACCUGAUCACCAACUCACCCUCACGAUUAAUUAGCGACCAGUACUGCUAGUAGUAGAUAAGCUAGACCAUCCGUAAGCAUGGCUUGUUCAUCCACCCGUGACCGGUCCAUGAUUGCUUCCACCGGCACCGGAACAAACGAAGCCACGAAGAAGCGCGGGGAGAGGUUUCCGGAGUGCGGCGGGGUUGGCGGCCGGCGGGGGCGGCCUGACCUAACGCGGAUUUGCGCACCAACCGACAACUAAUAACCGGAGAGUAGAUAAUAAACAAGCAAAGGGCGGGCGGACGCGGGCGAGCGAACAACUGGAUCACGUCAAGCGGUAAAGGAUUAAGAAAAAGGCAAGCACACACAGGGGGAUCGGAGGCGAGGCCCGAUUCGAUUUGAUUAACCAAACGUACUAGUGGGAGGUGCUUGCUAAUCGCUGCUGCUUAUCUACUCGGAAACGAGAGAGAGAGAGAAGGAUGAUGACUUGUUUUUCUUAUCGCUGUUACAGCUGUCCUUUUUGACAUUUGGAAAGACCGCCACUUGUGGCCGCCGUCUCCGCCCUCCCCACGCCGCCCAAGCCCGGCCCAGCCAGCUGCCCCCCCUCCCUCGUGCUUAUCCACAACGUACCGAUCGAAAACCCUUCGCCCCGCCGCCC